UAGGGAAUCUUCGGCAAUGGACGGAAGUCUGACCGAGCAACGCCGCGUGAGUGAAGAAGGUUUUCGGAUCGUAAAGCUCUGUUGUAAGAGAAGAACGAGUGUGAGAGUGGAAAGUUCACACUGUGACGGUAUCUUACCAGAAAGGGACGGCUAACUACGUGCCAGCAGCCGCGGUAAUACGUAGGUCCCGAGCGUUAUCCGGAUUUAUUGGGCGUAAAGCGAGCGCAGGCGGUUAGAUAAGUCUGAAGUUAAAGGCUGUGGCUUAACCAUAGUACGCUUUGGAAACUGUUUAACUUGAGUGCAGAAGGGGAGAGUGGAAUUCCAUGUGUAGCGGUGAAAUGCGUAGAUAUAUGGAGGAACACCGGUGGCGAAAGCGGCUCUCUGGUCUGUAACUGACGCUGAGGCUCGAAAGCGUGGGGAGCAAACAGGAUUAGAUACCCUGGUAGUCCACGCCGUAAACGAUGAGUGCUAGGUGUUGGGUCCUUUCCGGGACUCAGUGCCGCAGCUAACGCAUUAAGCACUCCGCCUGGGGAGUACGACCGCAAGAUU
This 549-nucleotide ribosomal RNA is filed under the name uncultured bacterium. Its description in RNAcentral is "bacterial SSU rRNA". It matches the Rfam family "Bacterial small subunit ribosomal RNA", at positions 355 to 895 of the family's 1533-position model. The record is from RNAcentral.